Molecule: ribosomal RNA, 253 nt
Filed under: uncultured bacterium
Lineage: Bacteria
Description: partial 16S ribosomal RNA
Rfam family: Bacterial small subunit ribosomal RNA
Source: RNAcentral
UACGAAGGGGGCUAGCGUUGUUCGGAUUUACUGGGCGUAAAGCGCGUGUAGGCGGAUCGUUAAGUCGGGGGUGAAAGCCCAGAGCUCAACUCUGGAAUUGCCUUCGAUACUGGCGGUCUGGAGCAGAGAAGAGGCGAGUGGAAUUUCGAGUGUAGAGGUGAAAUUCGUAGAUAUUCGGAGGAACACCAGUGGCGAAGGCGGCUCGCUGGUCUCUUUCUUACGCUGAGACGCGAAAGCGUGGGGAGUAAACAGG